AGAGUUUGAUCAUGGCUCAGAACGAACGCUGGCGGCGUGGAUAAGACAUGCAAGUCGGACGAGAUUUUUCGUUGUAGCAAUACGAUGGAGAGUCUAGUGGCGAACGGGUGCUUAACACGUGGGCAAUCUGUCUUAAAGUGGGGGAUAGCUCGGCGAAAGCCGAAUUAAUACCGCAUGUGAUUAGAGUGGACAUCCAUUCGAAAUUAAAGUCGGGGCAACCUGACGCUUUUUGAGGAGCCCGCGGCCUAUCAGCUUGUUGGUGAGGUAACGGCUCACCAAGGCUUUGACGGGUAGCUGGUCUGAGAGGACGACCAGCCACACUGGGACUGAGACACGGCCCAGACACCUACGGGUGGCAGCAGUCGAGAAUUUUUCUCAAUGGGGGAAACCCUGAAGGAGCGACGCCGCGUGGAGGAUGAAGGUCUUCGGAUUGUAAACUCCUGUCAUUGGGGAACAAUGCGUAAAUAUUAACUGUAUUUGCGUUGAUAGUACCCGAAGAGGAAGAGACGGCUAACUCUGUGCCAGCAGCCGCGGUAAUACAGAGGUCUCAAGCGUUGUUCGGAUUCAUUGGGCGUAAAGGGUGCGUAGGCGGCGCGGUAAGUCGGGUGUGAAAUCUUGGAGCUUAACUCCGAAACUGCAUUCGAUACUGCCGUGCUUGAGGACUGGAGAGGAGACUGGAAUUUACGGUGUAGCGGUGAAAUGCGUAGAUAUCGUAAGGAAGACCAGUGGCGAAGGCGGGUCUCUGGACAGUUCCUGACGCUGAGGCACGAAGGUCAGGGGAGCAAACGGGAUUAGAUACCCUAGUAGUCC
Molecule: ribosomal RNA, 810 nt
Filed under: uncultured bacterium
Lineage: Bacteria
Description: bacterial SSU rRNA
Rfam family: Bacterial small subunit ribosomal RNA
Source: RNAcentral